Molecule: ribosomal RNA, 419 nt
Filed under: uncultured eukaryote
Lineage: Eukaryota
Description: bacterial SSU rRNA
Rfam family: Eukaryotic small subunit ribosomal RNA
Source: RNAcentral
CAAUAGCGUAUAUUAAAGUUGUUGCAGUUAAAAGCUCGUAGUUGGAUUUCUGGUGGGAGCACGGGUCGGCCCUCACGGGUUGUACUGUUGUUGCGUCCCGCCGUUUCGGAGGGAAUGGUCUCGCUAUUAAGUUAGCGUGAUCGGGAACUCUGUCGUUUACUGUGAAAAAUUAGAGUGUUCAAAGCAGGCCUUCGCUGUGAAUACAUUAGCAUGGAAUAAUAAGAUAGGACUGUAGUGCUAUUUUGUUGGUUUGCGUACUAUGGUAAUGAUUAAUAGGGAUAGUUGGGGGUAUUCAUAUUCAAUUGUCAGAGGUGAAAUUCUUGGAUCGGCGGAAGACUCGCAACUGCGAAAGCAUUUGCCAAGAAUGUUUUCUUUAAUCAAGAACGAUAGUCGGAGGUUCGAAGACGAUCAGAUACCGU